This 253-nucleotide ribosomal RNA is filed under the name uncultured bacterium. RNAcentral describes it as "partial 16S ribosomal RNA". It matches the Rfam family "Bacterial small subunit ribosomal RNA", at positions 524 to 776 of the family's 1533-position model. The record is from RNAcentral.
UACAGAGGGGGCAAGCGUUAUUCGGAAUUAUUGGGCGUAAAGGGCGCGUAGGCGGCCAUUCAAGUGACGGGUGAAAGCCCUCGGCUUAACCGAGGAACUGCCUGUCAGACUGGAUGGCUUGAGACCGGGAGAGGUGAGUGGAAUUCCUGGUGUAGCGGUGAAAUGCGCAGAUAUCAGGAGGAACACCGGUGGCGAAGGCGGAUCUCUGGGCCAUUACUGACGCUGAGGAGCGAAAGCGUGGGGAGCGAACAGG